This is a long non-coding RNA of Sinocyclocheilus anshuiensis, 79 nucleotides long. RefSeq lists it as uncharacterized. The transcript is spliced from 3 exons. NCBI's taxonomy places the organism in Eukaryota, Metazoa, Chordata, Actinopteri, Cypriniformes, Cyprinidae. The record is from RefSeq and is a predicted model, not a curated record.
AGGUCUCUUCUAUAGACUUUGGUUGUAUAAUGUAUGCUGGGAAAUACAUAUUAAACAAGAGAUGACUUGUAUUCAUGAC